This 264-nucleotide ribosomal RNA is filed under the name uncultured methanogenic archaeon. Its description in RNAcentral is "partial 16S ribosomal RNA". It matches the Rfam family "Archaeal small subunit ribosomal RNA", at positions 366 to 631 of the family's 1478-position model. Lineage: Archaea; Methanobacteriati; Methanobacteriota. The record is from RNAcentral.
CGUGAUAGGGGACACCGAGUGCCAGCAUCAUAUGCUGGCUGUCCAGGUGUGUAAAAUACACCUGUUAGCAAGGGCCGGGCAAGACCGGUGCCAGCCGCCGCGGUAACACCGGCGGCCCGAGUGGUGAUCGUGAUUAUUGGGUCUAAAGGGUCCGUAGCCGGUUUGGUCAGUCCUCCGGGAAAUCUGACAGCUCAACUGUUAGGCUUUCGGGGGAUACUGCCAGACUUGGAACCGGGAGAGGUAAGAGGUACUACAGGGGUAGGA